RNAcentral lists this ribosomal RNA (534 nucleotides) under uncultured bacterium. RNAcentral describes it as "bacterial SSU rRNA". It matches the Rfam family "Bacterial small subunit ribosomal RNA", at positions 63 to 596 of the family's 1533-position model. The record is from RNAcentral.
CGAACGAUGAAACUCUAGCUUGCUAGAGAUGAUUAGUGGCGGACGGGUGAGUAACAUUUAGGAAUCUGCCUAGUAGUGGGGGAUAGCUCGGGGAAACUCGAAUUAAUACCGCAUACGACCUACGGGUGAAAGGGGGCGCAAGCUCUUGCUAUUAGAUGAGCCUAAAUCAGAUUAGCUAGUUGGUGGGGUAAAGGCCUACCAAGGCGACGAUCUGUAACUGGUCUGAGAGGAUGAUCAGUCACACCGGAACUGAGACACGGUCCGGACUCCUACGGGAGGCAGCAGUGGGGAAUAUUGGACAAUGGGGGCAACCCUGAUCCAGCCAUGCCGCGUGUGUGAAGAAGGCCUUUUGGUUGUAAAGCACUUUAAGCAGGGAGGAGAGGCUAAUGGUUAAUACCCAUUAGAUUAGACGUUACCUGCAGAAUAAGCACCGGCUAACUCUGUGCCAGCAGCCGCGGUAAUACAGAGGGUGCGAGCGUUAAUCGGAAUUACUGGGCGUAAAGCGAGUGUAGGUGGCUCAUUAAGUCACAUGUG